UGGGGAAUAUUGGACAAUGGGGGCAACCCUGAUCCAGCAAUGCCGCGUGUGUGAAGAAGGCCUUCGGGUUGUAAAGCACUUUAGGUUGGGAGGAAGGUGAGUAGUUUAAGAGAUGAUUCACUUGACUGUACCGACAGAAUAAGCACCGGCUAACUCUGUGCCAGCAGCCGCGGUAAUACAGAGGGUGCGAGCGUUAAUCGGAGUUACUGGGCGUAAAGGGCGCGUAGGCGGUGCUAUAAGAUUGAUGUGAAAUCCCUGGGCUUAACCUAGGAACUGCAUCGAUGACUGUAGUACUGGAGUACUGUAGAGGGUAGUGGAAUUUCCGGUGUAGCGGUGAAAUGCGUAGAGAUCGGAAGGAACACCAGUGGCGAAGGCGGCUACCUGGACAGAUACUGACGCUGAGGCGCGAAAGCGUGGGGAGCAAACAGG
Molecule: ribosomal RNA, 429 nt
Filed under: uncultured bacterium
Lineage: Bacteria
Description: bacterial SSU rRNA
Rfam family: Bacterial small subunit ribosomal RNA
Source: RNAcentral